This 365-nucleotide unclassified non-coding RNA is filed under the name soil metagenome. Its description in RNAcentral is "partial contains 5.8S ribosomal RNA, internal transcribed spacer 2, and large subunit ribosomal RNA". The stretch from base 1 to 120 matches the Rfam family "5.8S ribosomal RNA", at positions 35 to 154 of the family's 154-position model. The record is from RNAcentral.
GAUGAAGAACGUAGCGAAAUGCGAUAAGUAAUGUGAAUUGCAGAAUUCAGUGAAUCAUCGAAUCUUUGAACGCACAUUGCACUCAUUAGUAUUCUAGUGAGUAUGCCUGUUCGAGCGUCAUUUCGACCCUUAAGCCUAGCUUAGUGUUGGGACUCUACCCUAACCGGUAGUUCCCCAAAAUCAGUUGGCGGAGUUCAGUCGGCUCUGAGUGUAGUAAUUUCUCUCGCUUUAGAAGUCUUCUGGAUUACGGCCAGAAAGAGACGAGUCCUCGCAUCUCCGUGUGGUUCUCAACUUUUUUGUACAAUGGUUGACCUCGGAUCAGGUAGGAAUACCCGCUGAACUUAAGCAUAUCAAUAAGCGGAGGA